CGCGCCCGUCGGACGAUGGCACAGCCGGGCAUUCUGGGGGUUGUAGUUUGUACUUUUGUGAGGAAAGGUAGGAGGGGAGGACUUUUCUUGACCGCCUAUAACGGAAAACGAAUCUGAUCUCUCCCCACGCAUCGCUGCUCCGUUUACCCCGCUCGUGCGGGCGAGACGCGUAUUUUUGUAGCUUCCCUGAGAAAAAACCGGACUUAAGAGACCGGGGGAGGGUGCAGAACCGGACGGCAGUAGGACCUACCCGGCCGGUGAUGCUCUAUCCGGCUCCCUGCGGGCGGCGGCAGCGCGGAGAAGGCGAGCGCUGCGGGGGCCAGGCCAGGCCAGGCAGCUGCAGCGGCUGACAGGCAGGCAAGGAAAGAAGUUGGCGAGGGACAUCUGAGAAGGAUGGAUUGAUUGGUAAAGAUGGAGAGAGGCAGAGGAGGAGGAGGAGGAAGGAGUGUGGGGGGCUCUGGCCUACACAGAAACAUUUACUCCCAGUCCCAGCAGCAGUAUCAUUAUCCUGCCUCCUCUUCUCAGGCGGGCUGCAUGGAGAUCCAGGAGCUGGCCUCCAAAAGAGUAGACAUCCAAAAAAAGAGGUUUUAUCUGGAUGUGAAGCAGAGUUCCCGAGGCCGCUUUCUGAAAAUAGCAGAGGUCUGGAUAGGAAGAGGCAGGCAAGACAAUAUCAGGAAAAGCAAGCUGACUCUCUCCUUGUCUGUAGCUGCUGAGCUGAAGGAUUGUCUGGGAGAUUUCAUAGAGCACUAUGCCCAUUUGGGUUUGAAAGGCAGCCAGAGUCAUCGGAAUGAGCACACUAAUGGCAAAGAGCAAGAUUCAAGAAGGCGGCAACACCAUCACCCGCCAUCACCUCCAGCAUCAGUUGGAUCUGAAGAGCAUCUUCACAGCGUCUUAAAAACUGAGUAUAUUGAAAGAGACAAUAGGAAGUAUUACCUAGAUCUGAAGGAAAACCAACGUGGGCGUUUCUUAAGGAUUAGACAGACCUUAAUUAGAGGACCUGGCAUGAUAGGAUAUUUUGGUCACAGUUUGGGACAGGAACAGACUAUUGUCCUUCCAGCGCAGGGGAUGAUUGAGUUCAGGGAUGCUUUAGUCCAGCUCAUUGAAGAAUAUGGUGAAGGAGAUUUAGAAGAACGGAGGAGUGGAGGCGAUGAGCCUCCUGAACUUCCAGAGGGGACUUCCUUCAGGGUGGACAACAAGAGAUUCUACUUUGAUGUGGGGUCCAACAGGUAUGGUAUUUUUUUGAAGGUAAGUGAAGUGAGGCCUCCAUACCGUAAUACCAUCACUGUCCCAUACAAAGCAUGGACAAGAUUUGGGGAAAACUUUAUCAAGUAUGAAGAAGAAAUGAGGAGAAUUUACAACGGCCAUAAAGAGAAAAGAAUGGAUAUCAGAGGGGACAGUGGUGAAGAACAAGAGGGUCUUGAUUAGAUUGAUUUUCAGCAGACCAAGAAGCAAAAUAGAAAAGUGGCUAGAGGUACCGACAUGUUGUAGUUGGAAGAAGUUGCCUUUCUUUUUAACUUAUAAGACUUGCUGGAGGAAAGGGUCUUUGAACAUCAGCAGAGUUGUAAUAACUAGAUUCCUCCACUCACAUUUUCAAGGAUCAUCUCUACCAUAUUGACGCUAGCUGCAUUGGCAUUAGCAGAUGUUUCUUUCUGGCAGAAAAGAGGCACAGCUAAGUUGUGUUCUCACAUCCCCUUUUCCUCUCCAUUCAUACACCCCUCCAAUCAACAAAGCAGCUAAUUCAGACAGUCUAGCACACCCAAGGUUUCCAGAGAGUCCUAUUAUCGUAGAAGCUAUUCUGUGCCUCUUAAGACAAGCAGAGGACACUGCUUUCAGGAAGAAAAGACUUUAGCUGUCUGCCCCAAUUGGCCAGCUUCUGUAGUCCAGUUGUUCAUGACCUACUAGAAGUAGGACGAGAGAAGUAAAAUCAGCAGUGAGCAAAACUCUCCACACGCUUAAGGUCCAUUCUUCUCUGGUAUAUGGAAUAUGUGGUAGAAAGAUUAUUAUUUCUUUAAGGGUUGGCUUUUUUUAGUUAUUCUAGGAUCUAAUGUAGACUGUUUACUAAGAAAAAUGAGAGCUGAGAUCCAGGAGCUUUCUAUUAUGUAUAUGCAUCUGCUCUUGAUCUUAGGCUUCUUUUUAAAAUAAUCACUCCCAAUAAAGUUUUGUUGGAUUUCAUGAUUCUUAUGUGAAGCGUUCAUAUGAAGGUUCAUAUGAGGAAUAACAGUCUUCUGCAUUAGUGCUGUCAAAUUCUCAGUUUUGAAGAUUUUCUCCCAUUCUGAAUAGGAUUGUAAAUAUAAUGGUACAUAAAUCCAAGGAACAAUGCAUCAGAGCAAGCAUAAUGAAAAUGUAUGAGUGUGUUGUUGUGGUGCAUGAUACACGUGUGAAUUGUAAUCAACAUAUCAUGGGAUCUUUUUGAGGGAUCUGAGGGCCAGAGGCUUAUACCAUGAUGUGAGGGACUGAAAUUUAAUUCCUCUAUUUUGUCUUCUGUUAUGGUUGUAUUGUAUGUUUUAAAAAGGCAGUGUAAGGUCAAAAGGUUAGCCUAGGAAAUCAUUUACAGCUUGAAGUGAAAAGGUUAGCCCAGGAAACUGCGGACAAGAAUGCAAAAUCUGAUUGGUUACUUUAGAGGAGGGAGGAGUCGGUUUAGAGUAUAAAAGGCAGUGUUUGGAAAACCGGGGAGGGUGGGGGGAGAUUGAAAAAAUAAAGCCAGAGGAAGAGGGAUCAGAGGUGUGGCAGGAAAAAGGAAAACUGCUGGAGGCCUAAGGAACUUAUGAGACUGGCUGCGUUAGGGACACAGUCUUAGACAAGAAAGCUGGGUGUGUUUAUAACCUUUGCUCAUAAGGUUUUUAAAAUAAAAUAUUCAGAAAACAAUAUCUAAGAAUAUACAUUGGAUUGUUUUGUUUUCCUUUUUAAGUAAAAACAUAACUUGGUUGAGAUGUCUUGUUAUCUCUGAGUGUUGUUCCCCAUCCAUGCUUACUUGCUAUCCUAAUCUACCUGAGUUGUUGGGGAGUGGGGGAUGCUGUGAGCUGUUUAGUGGAGGUGGCCAGGGAAUAAAAACUUACACUUGGUGGCAGUGGUGAAAUCCAGAAGGUAGGAGAAGCAAGAGGUUGAUUUGCUUCCCUUCCCCGUCCCCCUUAUUCACAGGGCUGUGAAUGUGGUAUAUGCUCAAGGAUGGGUUGGUGAUUGGGUUCCAGAACAGUCAGAGAAGAGGACAAAGCAAGACACAAGUUCCUUUGGCACCUUCUCCUAGGGAGGCUCAGUCUGGGGAGCCAAGCCCAAAGGAUUUUUUAUAUAGGGCCAGCAGGGAUCCUAUUAGGCUCCCCAGGUCCUGUGACCCUUAUAGGCUCUCCAAGUCAUUCUUCCUAGUCAUUCUUGCUGACUGCUUGCUUCUUUUCUUUCUUUUCUUUCUUUUUGGACACUGUGGGUCAGCAAGACUUAAGGCAGCUAGUCCGUCUCCCUGUGAGCCACCUUGCUGGCAGAGAGAGUGAAGCACCAGAGCCCUGGCAUUUUACACCAUCUUACUGAGAUAUUUGAGCAAGCCUACAAUCAGUCAAUAACUUCAUUAUGGUCUUUGACCAAAAUGACCAGCAUAAGGCAAGAAAACAUAACAUUGGCAGCUGUUGAAGGCUAUUAAAAUCAAGGGAGUAUAAACAGUAAGAAAGCUAUAAAAUUGCUAAAUGGUUAGAACCUAUAAGGCUUAUAAAGACUGUAUUAUGGCAGCUGGAGCACAGAAAGUAUAAGCACCUUGUAUCAGUAGUUACAGUAUAACAUUAUAGGAGAGUAAAAGGUUUUGCAGCUAAAAGAGAUUAGAACUGUAUGGGUUAAAACUUGUUAAACUUGUGGGAUAGCUAAAAUCUGUAAGUAAAGGCUAUAGAGUUACUGUAGAAUUAAAAUGGAAAACUAUAAAAUUGUAAACAUUCAUAGAUUAUAGGUGGGGCUCUGUGCUGCAUCAGGUCUAGUUAGCAUUUACUGGUGCUCAGAGUCUGGUGAAUCUUGCACGCAGCUGUGCAGAACUUAGCAAUGUUUGUAGUAGAAGGAUUGCAGUCAGAGAGUAAUAGGGAGGUGUAGAAUUGAUGAGGGUGGCCAGGUAACCUAGACAGGGAGAAUGAGGGUAUUGCUGGAGUCUCUGUAGAAUGUGCAAUGAAGAAGGACAUGCUCUGUGAUUUCGACUUGCCUGAUGUUGCAUGGGCACAAGUGUUCCUGGAAAGGGAUCUUCCUGUAUCUUCCAUCUAGUACAGCCAAGAGGAGGGCACAGAGUGGACCAAGGUGAAGGCCCUUCUGUGCUUGGGGACCUCAAGCUGUGUAAAGUAAACAGCAGAUGUUGCUAUUAAGACUUUUUGAGAUAAGGAAGUUCAGGACCCUGCCGAAGCCAUCUUGGUUCUCUGUGUCCAUUAAACACUGUUUGAGGAGUGUUCUGGCCUGGUCAUGGCCCAUGGAGAGGAGGUGGGCAGGGAAUAGCCCAAGUGAUGCUAUUUUCGCCACUAGAGUUUGUUUCCCUGUGGAUUGGUAAUUGUCCUGUAGUAUUAGCGGGGAUAGGCCCAUUGGGAGGAAGGAUAGUCUUAGCCAGUAACGGAGUAUUGUCAGCCAUACUCUGGCCUCCACUUUCACCAGGCCCACCUUAGACUGGCAUUAGAAACACAACGGGGUGCUUGAAAUGUUGUUCUUAGGGACUUGGAAUGGGCAAGUUCCAGAGGGGCAAAGUUGGAGAAGGGUCCCUGCUGUGCGCCAUAGAGGAGUUGGGCCAGCAACUUGACUUUGAAUAAUUUAAGGGCUGCAGGUAUGUAUUGUCCCCCCUUGUACAGAAUAAUUUGAAGAUGGUGGCAACAUUCCUCUGGGUGUUUAAUGUGACAUGGUUGCCAUGGGUCUUCCUGAUGCCAGAGGCGUGGAGGACCACCUUCAGGGACUCAGCAAAGCACACUGCAAGUUUAUUAAAUAUGUCCCAUCUUUUAAAAAAGAUUUUUAAAAAACUUUAAUAUGCUAUUUUAGGUGGGGGGUGCUUUUUUCACUAGAUGGUAGAUGAAAAUGCUAAUGUCAGAUAGCUUUUCAUUAAGGAUUCUUGAUAAAAUUACCUUCCUCAUAUUGUGAACUAUAAACAAAGAGAUGGAAUAACUUUUUUCUGAAUUUCCCCCCCUUUUCCCCAGUUUUAUUUUGGACACCAGAAACAGUGGUUUGUCUAGUGCUGAUUUUAUUCAGGCUUAAUUCAACUUCCUGUCAAUAUAUACAGUUCCAGAGUAGUAGCUCUGUAUAUUUGUUAUAGAAUUCUGUGGUAUCUGAAAGACUAACACAUUUAUUGUGGUAUAAACUUGUGAGAUGGAGCUGCACCAGAUGCAAAAAGUAGUUGCUUCAGUGGGUAGGUAGAGAUAGCCUAUAAAAUUGACUUUUACUAAGUGAGGCCAAAGGAGGAGAUAGCUGUAGAUGUGUCACAGUACUACACAGAACACACAUGACUACACAAUCCAAUAAAAUUAUUACAAGUUCCAAUCAGUGUGACCAUUCCAGACUAGCAGCCGCUGGUGAUGAGUAGACAUAGCAAGAUCACAAGUUUACAAGAGCCCCUGGUGGCGCAGUGGUAAAACUGCCGCCCUGUAACCAGAAGGUUACAAGUUCGAUCCUGACCAGGGGCUCAAGGUUGACUCAGCCUUCCAUCCUUCCGAGGUCGGUAAAAUGAGUACCCAGAAUGUUGGGGGCAAUGUGCUAAAAUCAUUGUAAACCGCUUAGAGAGCUCCGGCUAUAGAGCGGUAUAUAAAUGUAAGUGCUACAUGAACUCCUACAAAGGGACAACCACUUUCUGUAGUGAGCUAGCCAUUCCUAGGGAUUGUUGGAACUAAGAUCCACAGUGUCAAAUGUGGUAACUAUUUCCCCAUUAGCAGCUUAAUGUUGGAGUCUCCCUUUGACACUUUUUGAUUGUAAUAUAGUGACUUUUUGAAGUCUUCUACACAAUAUCCUGGAUUUGAUCCUCCAUGGAUUUGAGUGUUGUUCUAAGUGUCUGAUGUAUAUCAAUGUAUCCCUUGUGGUGAGACUAACCUAUUUGGUUAUUAUUAUGGCAGAAGAGAAUUAUUGGCAGAUAAUGUUAUACGUUAUGUUAGGUGAUGUGCUCGUAAAUGAGCCCUUGAUGGCUGAUAAUGUUGGUCCUAUGAUUGUGUCAUUUGAGUAGAUGUAGGGACAGUUCAGGCCAGAAUUUGUUGUAAGGCCUAGUUUCUAGGUUUGUAGCUCUGAUGGGCUGCUGGUGGAUAACCAAACUAGAGAGCUGUCUCAAAAGAAGAAUAUAUGCAGUAGUGCUUGCUGAAAUAUUCCCAUUUUAGGCUUUGGUGGUUGGUUACUGGUAAGUCUUUAUGCUUAAGAACUUCUUGUGUGUAGCCAUCAGUUUUGAUAAUACCUACAGUAUUUGGUAGUAUGUGAUCUAGUACAUGUGUAUAUUAAAAUAUAUGCUGGCUGUGCUUGCUUGCUUGCAUCCCCAUUUUCUUGGUUAUCCGGACACCUGGAUAUUCAGUUGAUAUUGGUUCUCAAACUCCUGUAUUAGUGCACUGGUCAAUCAAGACCAUUUUGAACCUAUCUAGGGCUGCACACUUGCAGUCAGGCCUAUUCAGGGUGACAUACCUUCAGCCCUCCUGCAUCAUAAACAUUCAAUAGGGCCUGCAUGGAUCUGAAAAGCCAUUGGCUUUGCAAAAGAAAGUAAUUGCAGUCAGGUGUAUAGCUGUGGUUUUGCAGGGGAGCAGGGUCUUUUCCUUCACCUUCUGAGAUAAUUGCAUCCCCAUUGCAUCAUCAGUGAAGAAGGCCAACAUUGGGUCAUGCUCUCUAACAUCUGCCUGCCCUAGUACACAUGUUAAGGGUUGUGUGUCACAUCCUUGCUUCCUACUCCUGAGAGUCCAACCAGGCCACCCAGAACAAUAGAUCCCAACCGCCCAAUAAUCCUUAGGAGAGACUUUUCUUCAGCAGUAAGAUAAUGUUCCCUCUCCUAUCCACACUACAUCCUACACUGCUUCUUUUUGGAUGUAUUCUGAUCUUAGUCUCUGCAGGUCUUUUUUUUUAAUUAUUAUUUUUUAAUUUAGCUGCCCCCGCUGUUGCUGACAGAGUCUCUGGAAGAGGCUGGUCUGAGUUUCCUAGAUCUGAGUCUCAUCUAGCUGUUUGCCUUUUCUGCUCAGGCAUCACCACAUUAAAGCUGCACUUCUGCCAGCUUCAUCAAUCAUAGAUCCGCAGUCUGCAUCAUUAUCGCAGCCUUCUCCGUUUGUGAAGGAAGUCUGUGAUUGCAUUUUUGCAGCACCAAGCCUCCUUUGGUUUAUGUAGAGCAGGCAUUGGCUUGUUGCCCCUUUUAGGAAACAGUGUUCUGUGAAAUCAACAAGCCCCCCCCCAAAAAAAAAUCUGGCUUCUUGAUUCUAGCAGCAUGGGUGUUGUUUUUUUCUUCCUUUGUCUCCAUUGCACCACCAUGGAGAGAGGGGGCUACUGUUUUCACCCCUGCUCCUUCCAAAAUAAGUAAACAUGAAAAUGUGGAGAGUUUCUGCAUAAACAGCAUUAAAUAUUUAAAAUAUUUCAUUUCUAGUACCUGGUUUCCUGAAGCCUUCAUAUAAUUUAUAUUACUGUGUAUUGUCUGUUUAGCUUCUCAGCAUUUUAUGAAGUGAAGAGUGUAAAGUGUAAAGAAAAUAGCUGCAUACAAGAAAGCAUCAUUUUUUCUUAUGAAUGAAAAUCUAACAUGAAGUUCAGUAAUACUGUAUUCAUAUUCUUAAUUCAUUAGGUUAUAUUCUGUUGCUCUGGUCGUAGCAAAGAGAGCUUAAUACAUAGGCAAAUAACUAUUUUGCAAGGAUAGUCUUGAAUCUGGUUUUAAGAAGCAUUGUUUUGAAACCGACUCCCCAGCAAAGUGCAUGUUGAUGCAUCAGUAAAGCCUGUAAGAGGAGAAUACAGUUUAUUUCAGUCUGUGACUGGUCCUAUAAAGAGCCUGUUGCUCAUGUUUGCAGGCUGUUCAGGCGUACUUCAGCUCAAUUUCUGACUUCAUAGUAACAGAAAUUUCAGAAAAAAAACAUGUUCUGAAAGACUUGAAAUAAGCACUGGUACUUUACUUCCCAAAUUUGUCUUCUGCCAAUUAAGUUGAUGGACCUGUAUUGUAUUGUACAGCUAUAUGCAAUGUAAAUUGUUUGUACAUAAUUGUAAUCUGGAAGAUAGCACUGCAUAUUCAUUUAAACAUAGUGAAUUGUAAAGUGGAGCACACUUUCCAUGGCAUGUGUAGUACUUGUGCUCUCAGUUCUUACUUCUACUCUCUUAGGUACCAUAUCAGUCUAAUUAGGUUUGGGAUACUGACCUAAACCAUGAUCGAAGCAAGCACUUUAAGUACUCGUAGUCACUUUUCUUCUUACUAUAUGGAGCACCGCACUUUUUAUAAAUACAGUACUCCUAGCACUAAGUGUAAAACAUGUCCCUCCCCCAUUUUUGUGUAGUCUUUACAGGGUGUGUUUUUAAAAGGUGGUGGCUGUAUAAAGAGAGCUUUUCAUGAAUGUGACCACUGCCUGGUGCCUCUUGACUUCAUUAUAUCUUUAAGAAUUUCAUACACUGCUGAAAAGAGAAAAAAACAAUCCAAGCUAUAUUUUGUGACAUUUAAAAAUAACCGUUUAAUUACUGACAUCUAGACAGAUCUGAUCUGAAAAAGCAAACAAACUCAUAUGCACACCCAUAGGUGCACAAGCUUUCAAAAACACCAAAGACACAGGAAAAACAUUUAAAAUUGACCAGAACAACACAAGAGCAUUAGACUGACAGAAAAUGAUUUCAGAAAUAGAGUCUUGUACAUGUAACUUUUGGUAAUGGAAAUUUUUACCAUGGGUCUUCUCAUGGAUAGGCAAAAAAUGGUGGUGGGAGAAAACACCAAUCAAAAGUUAGUUCACUCUGUAUCUGCAUCAGUGCAGACACUGCAUCACAAUGCUAUUGCAAUAAACACAGCAUUGUGCCUGUGAAUUAAAGUUUGACAUUACUGCACUGUAGUUUCAAUUGUAAAGGUUUUUUUAAGCAGGAUAAAACUGCAGUGCAUUUAGACGAAUAGACAUGGCAAUCACUAUCCAUACUGCUACAUUUGUGGAAUAGUCAUAGCUUAUGGACAGUUCACUGAGGCAGGGAGUAGUUCUGUACAAUUUCCAUUGUUAAAUUCCUGUCUGCUAUAAAAAUUAACAUUGGUAUUCAUUCAGCUGUAGAAGAAAGUAAUCUGAAAAUGAUAUUUUUUCAAACCAUCAAAUUUAUGAUAUUAUUUGAAAACUUUAAAAGUGAAAUUCCGGGUUUCAUUUUUCCAGGCCUUAAAUAAUCAAAUUCGCAUUUAUCAAGAAUUCAAAUCUUCAUACCCUUUAAUGUACUCUUGAUCCAACUACCACAGUGCACAUACAGAAGGUGAUGUCUGUGCAUGCAUCACUGGAUUUAGAAUCAUGUGGGAUUCAUAGCGGCAUCUAUCUUUUAAGGCCACUUGUACAGUUCGUGCCAUUGUAUGAGAAAUAUUGGCUCUCAUACACAGUGACAUUAACGGAAGAGAAUUCUUGUAAGAGACCCUGAAUGCUGCUGCAGCUCCCUAAGCCAAGUCUUUCUGAGGGUCACAUUGCCAGUGGCUUCAUGGAUGGGAGAGCCCAGUAACAGGAUGAAACUCUGCUAGCAAAAUGUGCCCUCCACACAGUUUCUAAGCUCCCCCUUUCCUCUAUGAAUCUCCACCUUCAAAUCCUCCGAAUCUCCACCUGCAACACAGCCCCAUGUUGUUGCCACCUGCAACACAGCCCCAUGUUGUCCUUCAGCAACCCCUUUUUGGCAUGCUAAAGGGGAUGCAGCAGCACUGAGAGUUGCUUGCACUAACUCUUACACUGGUUCCGCCGUGUAUGUGAGCCUGUGAAUGCAGCCGGGAUCAAUUGGUGGUUAUUGAUGGCACCAUUUGUUCAUUCAGGGAUAAAGGCGGACUGAAUGCAGACUAUCAUAAUCAGUUAUGAACAAAGCUUGGUUGGAGCCUUACUCUUAAAAUGUUUAAAUAGGCCCUGUGUUGUACAUUCAAUCUAAAUAACAGGUUUGUUGGUUUUUAUACAUGACAUUUUCAUAGCGGAAAUAAUUCUGAAACAGCUUUAAAUACCUAAGUUUUUCUAUUUUGAAUUCAUUAUAUCGGCCAUACGUUGCAUCGAUUCUCUUGUAGCAGGGGUGUCUUUUGAAACGAUCCUUUUUAAAGAUUCCUUCCAUAUUUUGAGCAUUCAGUUAUGUCUCAUUGUCUUUAUCUUAAUACACAUACACAUGCGCGGGCACACAUUUAGCGGCUUCACUAUCUGUGGUAUUUGAAAACAGAUGCUACUCCAUAUAUAAUACAGCCAAAUGCUUUAGUGUGAUAUCGUCUUAAAAUGUAGCAAUGUCCCCUUCCCAAAGCUAAUACACAAUAAGUAUGAUCCACAAAUAGCUUAAGAUGAUGCAUUACAUUGAAAGGACAGGAUCCAAAGAGUAGCACAUGAGAUCCUCUGCAUGCACACAGGCUUUGGGGGGACCUCGUCCAGCCACAGCCCCCUCAAAGGUUUGCUCCUGUAAGUCAGGGGACCCUCCAGAGCUGCAUUCAAUGUAACACAAAGGGCUGCAUCCAGACGAGGAUGUGUAUGGGCCUCUUUGGAUCCUCUCCAUGAUAGUUUAAUCAUGUCUGAGGUACGUUAAAUGGUCUGCAGGAUGUGUGUUCAUUUUGGAGGUUUAGUAGAAGAGAAAUAAAGAGAAUUAGUAGUCCUCUUCAACUAGAUAUCUCUUUCCCAAUACAGUAUUCUCUUUUUUAAAACCUGCAAGUAAAAUGUUUAUGUACAGAUAUUUCCAAGGAAUGUGCUAAUAUUCUUGGAAUAACUUGCUGCAUAAAAAAAAAAUCAGAAAGAAAUUGUAUUGGCACACAGGCAGUGUUUAACAAUAGUCUGUGCCUUUUCUUUCUUUUUUUCCUUUUAAAAGCAUAUGUAGUCACUUUAAUUUUGCUUUUUUGUUUCCUUGCAUAAUUAUAAAUGUAUAAAGGUGAUUUCACAGCUGCACCUAUAAUCAAAAUACAGCAUUACAACAGUCAGGUUAAUCAGAACCAUGUGCAUAGCAGGUAGCAGUUUAUCCAGUGUGUGUAUUCUUCCCCAAUGGUACUAUUUUUCAGUAGAAUAUUCUUAACCAAAAGGUGUUUUAAAGUCAUGGCAUGAAAAACCGUAAAUGUAAAUGAGUACGUGUAAUGCUAACUAAAGGAAUUUCCUUAAACUUAUGUGAUGCUUAAUAUUUUCCUUAGGAAGCUUUUGUUUUAAAGGUAGAUCACUGUUCUGAAGGAUGUUGGUCCUAUGGAAUAAAAAUAAUAGAAAUAAAAUGCAUGUUACAAAUGUAGACAUGGUAAAGAAUUAAAUGUGAACUUACUGUACGAUACUGACUCUGUUUUCAAACAAUCUGUUUUACUGUUCUAUAGUUAACAUAUUUUUAAAAAAGCAAAUGUACUGUAAUUUAGCACUUUUUUCCUAUGUACCCUGUUCUCACUAUACUAGAGGUACGAAAUGGCAUAGAUGUGGAAUAUGUAAUCAUGCCUGCAUGAAUACUUUAGGGUUUUUGCUUUCCUUGAUGUGCAAGACUAAUCUUUGUAAACAUCAUCUUAAGUGCAAAAAACCCUUCUAUCCUGUCAAUCUCUGGCUAUACCAUAACCUUACAGGGUGCCAGAAUUCUAAGCAACUUAAAGUUCAGGGUCUCUUUACAUGUUCUCUUUUCCAAAAUAAAUCUAAUGCAAUUCAAAAUUUGGCCUUACAAGAAAAGUGUACCCUAAGACAUAGGUGAUUUGUAGGAUCAUCCAUUUGAGCCCUUAAACUCAGAUUUGAGCCGAAGGGUGGAUUCACAUAUGCCUUUAACAUAGGGGUUUGGAUAUGGCCCCAUGCACGCUAUCAAACAGAUGCACAUCUGAAAAUGAUCUUUGAUAGUAAAACACAUAGAGAUAUCAUGCCACUGGAAUGUAUCCCUACAUGCAUUACUAUGAAUGAACACUUCACUUAUGUGUCGAUCUGCAUGGUGGGGUGCACCAUAUGUACAAAAAUGGACUUGAACAUUAAAGGCACAUGCAAAUUCACCCUGAGAAAGUGUGCACGACACAAUAAAGUCACAUAAUCUAAUUAUAAACAUACAAAACAAUAGAUGAGAUAGAGUGUACUCUUGUGAAGAGACCUCUCAAGCAGUAUACUAAGUAAUAGCAACACUGAAGCGGGUAAUUUAAAUUAUAUAUCUUGCUAUCCGUUCUUGUUUCGGGGUAAGAAAUGAACAAAAGCCUUGUAGACUUGAGGUAAGAUGAUCGCACAGAUGGAAGCAAAGGUGCAUGCAAGUAGAUCAAUAUGUUGAAGACUGGAGAUACUGGUGACUGACAAGUAUUUUUUCAAAGACAGGGUACUGGGUAUGGACAGGUAUAGGAUAUCGGUUAGAGGAAGGAGAUUCAAAGAUGAAAUAAUAUAAGUAAAUUUUGCUGUAUAGAUUUUGGCUGUGCUUGUACAGAAUUGAGCCUUAGUACUUAGUUCAGUAUUGCAUUACAGAGCACGUUUGAAUGCUCUCUCACAUCAAAACACUUGCUGGCUAUGGAAAGCUAGCAUGUCAUGGGGAAAGGGUUAUAUCAUGGUAUUUUCCAUAAUAUACUCAUUUUCUACGAACAGAGAAUUUCCCACACAUUCAAACUUCCAGUCCCUGCUUUUGGAAGUAGUAUUGUUGCAGAAAGACUGUGAUACAUGCUUCUUCUUCUUUUCUUUUCUUUUUAAUGUGGAUGAGCUCUGAAUUAGUCAACAAGUGAUGGCACACAGUUUGAAUGUGUGAACUGCCUCCACUGAAAGAUUGGGUAUGAGAUAAUGUCAAGUGAUAUGAAAGAUCUGUCUGACCAGUGAUGGUGGUUACAAUAAGUGCUGCUGGUUAUGACUUGUGUAUGUGUGAACUCCUCAAAGUGAUGAAAUGCUGCUUUUUCACUUAUCAAAGCAAUUCAAUGAAAAGGACCAUAAUAGAUAGCAAAGACAAGUCAGAGGGCAAUGGCAGGCAAAGAACUAAAGAAGAUAGUUUCCGAGAUUAGGAGGGAAGUGUUGAACAUGUAGAUUUUAUGGGGACUUAUGGAGAUGAUAGUGGGUAAGGAGACUAAUACCAGUGGGAACUUUUCUCCCAGAGCUAAUAACUGCUUUGGCAGGAUUGCAGUGCAAGGUUUAAAUAUCCCCUCCCACCGGACCAGAAGCCCAAUCCUGAUUAGCUUCCCCCACAGGAGCGAUUUUAAACUUUAAAGAAAACAAAGCUCACAGGGCCAAAGCUGUGUGUUUAAUGUAAUAUAAUAUGCAGUUUGGCCCUGAGAAAGGUUGAAUGGCAAUAAAAGGGAAGAUGAUAAAGGAACAAGCAAGAUUAGAGGGCAAUAGGGGUGUUGGCCAAUGAAGUGAAAAUGUUUAUAGAUUCUGACCCUUAUUAAGUAAAAGUAGGUUGUUAUCAAUUUUAAGUUGCAGUUUCACUUCUAAAUGUGUGCAGUGUUUUGUUUUUUUUAACGGAUCAAACAAAGCAUUCAGUAGUGGUCUCAACCAACAAUAAAAUGCUUGGAAUGUGUUUGCUGAGGCCAUGUAAAUAUCAGACCCUGAAUUUCAAAGAGAGGUAUGAAGUAAUCCUGCCAACAGAGUCCCUGUGUUACACUCAAGAUGCUUCUAAAAUGUACAGCAUUCUCUAGUAUUAACAGGGUGUUCAGAUGUGACUUGUCAUGUACUGUACUCAAAGGUUCAUUGAUCAGUGACUGUAUUGUACUGUAUGAAUAAUCAUAGAUUGCCUUGUAUUGUUUAUAAUAAGACUGUACCAAGUACCACACGGAUUUCCACGUUCCAAGUCUGUCAGUAACGCAUGUUGCCAGUUAGAUCCUAAAACUAUGUGGUGCUAACUCUUCCAUAUCCAAUGGUGCUUUUGUGGAUGCUAACUGCUGACAUGCUGGGGGGGGAAGCUUGAAGUUGAAAAGUCUCAUUUGUCUGUUUGUAAAAGUAAAAAAUACAAAAACAAAAAUGUGAUUUAAACUUGAAUUGUUUCACGGUACCAUUGACAAUCCAGUGUUUUAUAUGUAUGUACUUUUUAUUGGAUUUUUCAGCUGAUUCUUCAAAAAGCAGCUCUCAUCAUUUCUGCUUUGAAAGAGCCUGUAUUUCACCCAGCAACCGUUUAUCCAUGUUUAAUUGUUAGUCACUGCUUAUCCCAGAAUCUGUUAGAAUCAGGUGGAUCCUAAGCCUGCUUGUGCAGUUUGAAAAAUUGUCAACUAAGUUCUGCCCUUUUGUCAUACAGUCAUAGGCCCUGAAAAGGUGAUGAUCUUGUUGAAACACCUGUGUAAAAGCAGGAUCUUGUAUAUUCCAGUAUCUCAUACCUGAUAGCCCAGAUCAUCCUGCUUAUAAUAAACCACAGGGCCAUUUCACAGAUUGCACUAAAUCAGGUGUGGGUUUGUUACUGCAUGUACAAUCAGCAGGGAGCUGCAGUUAAUCAUCACACCAUAACUAAUAAUAGAAUCUAUUAUUCUAGGUUCUGUAAUAAGAGAGACUAUUCAGCCUACAAGGACUGAAGAGGGCCUCCUAGGCCAAGCCCCUGCUUGAUGCAGGAAUUCCAGACCUGGCACACUCCCAACUGGUGGUUGUUGCCUGUGUUUGAAGAUCUCCAGCGAGGGAAAGCUCUUGAAAAUUGGUUCUAUUGUCAAACUGUUUUCAUCAUUAAAAGUUUCUCCUAAUGUUCAGCUGGAAUCUUAUCCCCCUUUAUCUUAAGCUGAUUAGAUCUAGUCCUGCUCUAUGGGGCAGCAGAGAACAAAUCCUUGUCUUCUUCUUUGUGACAAUCCUUUUGGUAUUUGAAGAGUUCUGUCAUGCCCCCUUCAUUCUCUUCUCCAGGUCAAACAUGCUCAAUUCCUUGAUGUUGUUGGCUACAACUCCCAGCAUCCCCAGCUGCAAUGGCCUUUGGCCAGGGAUUGUGGGAGUUGUAGUCAACAACAUCUGGGAAUCCCUGUUACAGGGAACACUGCCUCUGACCAUCUUCUUUGUCCUCUUUUUGAACUCUUUCCAUUUUGUCUACAUCCUUCUUAAAAUGCAGUACCCAGCAUUGGACACAGUACUCCAGAUGAGGUCUGACUAGUUCAAGAUAAAGUAGAACUAUUACUUUUUACUACCAACGUUGGAGAAUUUAUUGCCUGGGGGUUGUUGAUGAUGAUGAUGAUGAUGAUGAUGAAUUCCCGAUUAGCCUUAUCUGACCAGAGCUUAGCAGUAGGGGCCAGAUUCUUGCAGUAGGGGCCAGAUUCUUGUCCAGGUUCAUUGCCCACUGAAUGGGAGAUGAAACACAGAUGACUCAAAAAUAAAGUUUAAAAGUGUAUUUGUAUCUUACCAACUUUAAAAUUGUUAUUACAAAUAUAGAUUUGACAAACAAAAAACACAAAUAUAAUUCACAACAGUACACCUGUUGUUCAAAGGAAGAGAUCUGGUCUUGUGGUCGCAAGCAUGAAUUGUCCCCUUUGCUAAGCAGGGUUCACCCUGGCUUGCAUUUGAAUGGGAGACAUCUGAGCACUGUAAGAUAUUUCCCUUAGGGAAUGGUGCUGCUCUGGGAAGAGCAUCUGCAUGCUUGUAUGCAGAAGGGUCCAAGUUCCUUCCCUGGCUUCUCCAGAUAGGGCUUAGAGACACUCUUGCCUUACAACCUUGGAGAAGCUGCUGCCAGUCUAUAUAGACAAUACUGAGCUAGAUGAACCAAUGGUCUGACUAGAUGGACCAAUUAUAUAAGGCAGCUUCCUAUGUGUGGUCUGGCCAGCAGCUUGGUUACAAUGACAAACUCUUAAUUUUCAAAUUGACAGGUAAGGUUUCUGCUGAUAACAAAUUACUGACAACAAACAACUGACAACAGUUGUCAACAAAUACGUUUGUUGUACUGACAGCAAACAAAUUUGUUGACAAGGUGGUUCCUUCUCCCAUUGUGUAAUCUGGCCACUAGUAUACUGCUCCUUUUUGCCCAAAGGCUUCUCAUAACGGCUUAGCCUCAUUCCUCUUUCUCCUCUUCCCCAACAAAGAUGUCUUAAAAUAACACCAACUACUGAAGAAGUUAAAGAAAUUUAUAAGCAGGUUUUUGGUCAAGCAAGCAAAUAUAGGCUAUCAUAGACAUAAUACUGCAAAGUCCCCUUGGAAACUGUAAUUCUGUUAAUGCAAUUUUAGGCUGCACUAGUAUUGCACUGUUGACUCAUGUUCCACUUGUGAUCAAAUGCAGAACUUUGCAUUUGUCUUUCUCAAAUUUCACGUUGUUAGUUUCAACUUGAGUUUUCCAUUCUGUUAGGUUAUGCUGAAUGUUAUGUGUACCUCAGGCAUUAACUAUCCCUCUCAACUUUGUGUCAUCAGCAAAUUUGAUGAGGAUUCCCUCUAUCCCUUCAUCUAAGUCAUUGAUAAAAAUGUUGAUUGCAAUACUUAGGGAUUUAGACAAAUUAAAAACCAAAUGUGGGGAAGAUGAUUUGUAAAGUAUUGUAACAACAACAACAAAAACACACUCAACAUUAUAAAUAGCCCAGGGCUGGCCUGUCAGUUGGACAGACUGGCAUGCAGAUAACUCUGAAUUUCCUGAUGCCUUGGAAAUGCAAUGAGCCAGCAGGCAAAGCACUGAUGAUAAAUUCAAGGAAGAAGCAGAGGAAUUAUGGUCCAAGUCUGUGGAUGUUGGGGAAAGAUUAUGCAGGACCUGGUACAAAUUUAAUGGUAUCACGCAAGAUAGCUUCUGAAAUGGUUAAAUUACUCUGAAGUACAUUAAAACAAGUGAUGUUAGAACCAUUCUGCAAAUAAUAAUGUACAAUUAAGUGAUAGAGAGUGAUAAAAAAAUUACACUGUAUAGUUUGACUGCAUAUGGCAAGAGGGAUGUCAUGUUUUUGAAUGCUACCACACAUUUUUAAAAACUGCUGUGAAUAAAGUGAACUAACACAGCAGGGAGAAGGCGAUACCAAACCAUUUUUCCUGAUGUGCUUGUUUACUACAUGCAUGAUUUAUUAUGAUAGAUUAUAUAGAUGAACACUCAAUACACUCCCACCUGCAAUCUGAAAUGAUACAGUUCUGGAUUCUACCACCUCUCUCUGCAUCAUGUGUAGAAAAAAGUGGUUCUUAAUUCUGUGAAAGAUGAUGUACAGUUAUAUAUUCCUCAUCCUGAGGUGCCUGGGCAAAUAGCUAAACAAAGGGGGGGAAAUAGCUUGCAGGCAUAAGAAAAAAUGUAAACAAGUAAAACUGAGAUCUCAUUUUAAAACAAAAAAAGCCCCAAAUGAUGCUUUUUUCCUCUCUUGCUGCACUUGCUAAAGAUGCAAACAUCCUUGCUCUAUUAGAUUUCCUAAAUUCUCAUUAAUUAGAGAGUAUUUUUAUUUUGCUGGGAUGAAAUUUUAAAUAAUGAGCUGCUUUUUGGAGGAAAAAAUAUAUAUUUUUAUGUCGGUUUGACAAGUCUACUUGCCCCAUUACUGAAUUUGCAUAUUGUUGUUUGCCACUGUUUGUUCUGUCUUACAAUAAAUUUGCUUACUUGUGUAGUCUUAA
Molecule: RNA transcript, 17468 nt
Organism: Hemicordylus capensis (graceful crag lizard)
Lineage: Eukaryota; Metazoa; Chordata; Lepidosauria; Squamata; Cordylidae
Gene: PURG
Gene name: purine rich element binding protein G
Exons: 3
Source: RefSeq, a predicted model, not a curated record